This 497-nucleotide ribosomal RNA is filed under the name uncultured bacterium. Its description in RNAcentral is "partial 16S ribosomal RNA". It matches the Rfam family "Bacterial small subunit ribosomal RNA", at positions 28 to 507 of the family's 1533-position model. The record is from RNAcentral.
GAUGAACGCUGGCGGCGUGCCUAAUACAUGCAAGUCGAGCGAACAGACGAGGAGCUUGCUCCUCUGACGUUAGCGGCGGACGGGUGAGUAACACGUGGAUAACCUACCUAUAAGACUGGGAUAACUUCGGGAAACCGGAGCUAAUACCGGAUAAUAUAUUGAACCGCAUGGUUCAAUAGUGAAAGACGGUUUUGCUGUCACUUAUAGAUGGAUCCGCGCCGCAUUAGCUAGUUGGUAAGGUAACGGCUUACCAAGGCAACGAUGCGUAGCCGACCUGAGAGGGUGGUCGGCCACACUGGAACUGAGACACGGUCCAGACUCCUACGGGAGGCAGCAGUAGGGAAUCUUCCGCAAUGGGCGAAAGCUUGACGGAGCAACGCCGCGUGAGUGAUGAAGGUCUUCGGAUCGUAAAACUCUGUUACUAGGGAAGAACAAAUGUGUAAGUAACUAUGCACGUCUUGACGGUACCUAAUCAGAAAGCCACGGCUAACUACGUG